CUAAGCCUUUUGAAAUUGCCACACGAAAUAAUUAAAAGAAGGCUAAUUUACAAAGAAUGAUUGAAACUGAAAUUUUAAUAUAACAUCAGCUCCCUCCUCUACUUCAUUUACCAACCGACUCUACCUUCAGAUUUGGUCAUAAACUAAUUAAAAUCUAGACAUCACCGAAAUUUGAAGACUAGGCGAGCCUGAUAGAAAAGUAGGCCGUUUUGGCAUGACAUAGUUGACACAAGAAUUGACGGUCUCCAAGUCAGCUCAAAACCUUAACAAGUUCCGGCUCUGAUCAGCCAAGUGUUAGCAAUUGUCCUUUCUUAGUCCUUUGAACAAUUAUAACCU
RNAcentral lists this long non-coding RNA (336 nucleotides) under Elaeis guineensis (African oil palm). RNAcentral describes it as "long non-coding RNA (EGUI_LNC016164)". The record is from RNAcentral. Lineage: Eukaryota; Viridiplantae; Streptophyta; Magnoliopsida; Arecales; Arecaceae.